This 1102-nucleotide long non-coding RNA is filed under the name Phasianus colchicus (ring-necked pheasant). RNAcentral describes it as "lncRNA (ENSPCLG00000019079.1)". Lineage: Eukaryota; Metazoa; Chordata; Aves; Galliformes; Phasianidae. The record is from RNAcentral.
UUGUGGUUUUGAAGUCAUCUGUCUGGAUGUCAUUGAAGUUUCCACAGAGACCUAAAGGGAAGUAGAUAGGCUGUGAAAGUCUCCUACAAAAUCAAGCAUGCUGAUGAAGGCAGUUGUUAGAAUAAGAUCACUUACCACAGGUCUGCCCUUUCUGUGAUGGAUCUAAGUUUAUAAAAAGUUGCAUGAGAGGUACAAUUUGAAUCUGCAGCUGAAGACCGAAAGUUGUUUGUAAAAUGAUGAAAAAUGAUGAUGGUCUGAAGAUGGUGACAUUUGCUGUGGACAAAGAGGAAUAAUUUCACUUAAGAUAAACAGUUAAAACAACUUUUCACUAUAUAGGAGAAUUACACAGCCAUGUGUGAUCUUAGUUGUUGAAGAACAGAAAAAGUAUGUAUAGGAUUUCAAAUCCUGCACCAAGAUGGGCUAUCUUUACUUUAAAGAAUGAGUAUGCAAAAAAACUUCCACUUUUCCAUCAGUUGUUCUAAAGUGGAGGGAAAGGCAUACAUUUCUGUUCCUAUCUGAAAGAACACCUUUGCUUGAUGAAAAUGUUUAGCAUGAUUUAGUGGUAGGCUCCAACACAAAGCUAUUCUGUCAUUUAGUGAUUUGCUUUCUGUUCAGGUGCAGCAGUAUCUGAGAAGAAGUGGUAGGAUACUUUCCAGUGAGAAACAUCACAGAAGUCUUUGAAAGGAACUUACCUGCAGAGAAGGGCAGCUGUGUGUAGAUCAUAUUCACAAAUACACUGCCAGAAGGCUGGAUCACAAUGUUCUGCCCACAAGAAAAGGCAAUGAUUAUCAAGCAUGUUUAGGAAAGGUUUUCUGUCACAUUUUGGAUACUUUCUUACCAGAAGGGCAUCCUCUUCAUUCCAGAGGAAGGUCAGUCCUAACUUAGCAGAAACUUUCAAAUAGUUGUUGCUCCUCUCUAUCAAGAUUCCCAUAUGGCUGUAGGGCAUCUGAAUCCUGGGAAAAGAUCACCAUAAUUCAGUGGGAGUAAAGACAGAAUAUCCAUUGAGAGUGCAAAUUGAUACCAAUUCUCACUUUUUUGAGAAGCUUCAGUACACAAAGAUGAGGAAAUUAGCCAGAGCAAUAACUAAAUACAGACAGCUCAG